RNAcentral lists this ribosomal RNA (254 nucleotides) under uncultured bacterium. Its description in RNAcentral is "partial 16S ribosomal RNA". It matches the Rfam family "Bacterial small subunit ribosomal RNA", at positions 524 to 776 of the family's 1533-position model. The record is from RNAcentral.
UACGUAGGGGGCAAGCGUUGUCCGGAAUCAUUGGGCGUAAAGCGCGUGUAGGCGGCCCGGUAAGUCCGCUGUGAAAGUCGGGGGCUCAACCCUCGAAUGCCGGUGGAUACUGUCGGGCUCGAGUCCGGAAGAGGCGAGUGGAAUUCCUGGUGUAGCGGUGGAAAUGCGCAGAUAUCAGGAGGAACACCAAUUGCGAAGGCAGCUCGCUGGGACGUGACUGACGCUGAGACGCGAAAGCGUGGGGAGCAAACAGG